GUGGGGAAUCUUGCGCAAUGGGCGAAAGCCUGACGCAGCCAUGCCGCGUGAAUGAUGAAGGUCUUAGGAUUGUAAAAUUCUUUCACCGGGGACGAUAAUGACGGUACCCGGAGAAGAAGCUCCGGCUAACUUCGUGCCAGCAGCCGCGGUAAUACGAAGGGGGCUAGCGUUGCUCGGAAUUACUGGGCGUAAAGGGCGCGUAGGCGGACAGCUUAGUCAGAGGUGAAAGCCCAGGGCUCAACCUUGGAAUUGCCUUUGAUACUGACUGUAUUGAGUUUGGGAGAGGUGAGUGGAACUCCGAGUGUAGAGGUGAAAUUCGUAGAUAUUCGGAAGAACACCAGUGGCGAAGGCGACUCACUGGCCCAAUACUGACGCUGAGGCGCGAAAGCGUGGGGAGCAAACAGGAUUAGAAACCCUGGUAGUCC
RNAcentral lists this ribosomal RNA (425 nucleotides) under uncultured bacterium. Its description in RNAcentral is "partial 16S ribosomal RNA". It matches the Rfam family "Bacterial small subunit ribosomal RNA", at positions 354 to 796 of the family's 1533-position model. The record is from RNAcentral.